GACGAAGAACGUAGCGAAAUGCGAUAAGUAAUGUGAAUUGCAGAAUUCAGUGAAUCAUCGAAUCUUUGAACGCACAUUGCGCCCCUUGGUAUUCCGAGGGGCAUGCCCGUUCGAGCGUCAUUAUACCCCUCAAGCCUAGCUUGGUGUUGGGGCCUGCUGUUACCGGCAGCCCUUAAAAUCAGUGGCGGUGCCAUCUGGCUCUAAGCGUAGUAAUACUUCUCGCUACAGGGUCCCGGUGGAUGCUUGCCAUCAACCCCUAAUUUUCUAUGGUUGACCUCGGAUCGGGUAGGGAUACCCGCUGAACUUAAGCAUAUCAAUAAGCGGAGGA
RNAcentral lists this unclassified non-coding RNA (328 nucleotides) under soil metagenome. RNAcentral's name for it is "partial contains 5.8S ribosomal RNA, internal transcribed spacer 2, and large subunit ribosomal RNA". The stretch from base 1 to 120 matches the Rfam family "5.8S ribosomal RNA", at positions 35 to 154 of the family's 154-position model. The record is from RNAcentral.